GCGUGCGAGGUGCCAGGCAUG
This 21-nucleotide microRNA is filed under the name Zea mays. Its description in RNAcentral is "zma-miR160f-3p". Its record names the gene zma-miR160f-3p. Lineage: Eukaryota; Viridiplantae; Streptophyta; Magnoliopsida; Poales; Poaceae. The record is from miRBase by way of RNAcentral.